AGAGUUUGAUCCUGGCUCAGAGUGAACGCUGGCGGCGUGCUUAACACAUGCAAGUCGAACGAGAACGGAACUAGCUUGCUAGUUUGUCAGCUAAGUGGCGCACGGGUGAGUAAUAUAUAGUUAAUCUGCCCCAAAGAAGAGGAUAAUUGUUGGAAACGACUUGUAAUGCUCUAUAUGCCUUUAUCACAUAAGUGAGCAAGGGAAAUAUUUAUAGCUUUGGGAUGAGACUGUACGGUAUCAGAUUGUUGGUGAGGUAAUGGCUCACCAAGUCUAUGACGCCUAACUGGUUUGAGAGGAUGAUCAGUCACACUGGAACUGAGACACGGUCCAGACUCCUACGGGAGGCAGCAGUGGGGAAUAUUGCACAAUGGACGAAAGUCUGAUGCAGCAACGCCGCGUGGAGGAUGACACAUUUCGGUGCGUAAACUCCUUUUAUAUGAGAAGAUAAUGACGGUAUCAUAUGAAUAAGCACCGGCUAACUUCGUGCCAGCAGCCGCGGUAAUACGAGGGGUGCAAGCGUUACUCGGAAUCACUGGGCGUAAAGAGCAUGUAGGCUGGUAAUUAAGUUGGAAGUGAAAUCCUAUGGCUCAACCAUAGAACUGCUUCCAAAACUGAUUAUCUAGAGUAUGGGAGAGGUAGAUGGAAUUUCUGGUGUAGGGGUAAAAUCCGUAGAGAUCAGAAGGAAUACCGAUUGCGAAGGCGAUCUACUGGAACAUUACUGACGCUAAGA
RNAcentral lists this ribosomal RNA (730 nucleotides) under uncultured Campylobacterota bacterium. Its description in RNAcentral is "bacterial SSU rRNA". It matches the Rfam family "Bacterial small subunit ribosomal RNA", at positions 8 to 751 of the family's 1533-position model. The record is from RNAcentral. Lineage: Bacteria; Pseudomonadati; Campylobacterota.